AGAUUGAACGCUGGCGGCAUGCCUAACACAUGCAAGUCGAACGGGAGUAGCAAUACUCUAGUGGCGGACGGGUGAGGAAUACGUAGGAAUUUGCCCUUAAGUGGGGGAUAACCCGGGGAAACCCGGAUUAAUACCGCAUGACCUCGAAAGAGCAAAGUGGGGGAUCGCAAGACCUCACGCUUUUGGAGAAGCCUACGUCGGAUUAGCUAGUUGGUGAGGUAAUGGCUCACCAAGGCGACGAUCCGUAACUGGUCUGAGAGGAUGAUCAGUCACACCGGAACUGAGACACGGUCCGGACUCCUACGGGAGGCAGCAGUGGGGAAUAUUGGACAAUGGGCGCAAGCCUGAUCCAGCAAUGCCGCGUGUGUGAAGAAGGCCUUCGGGUUGUAAAGCACUUUAAGUUGGAAGAAAAACUCGACUACUAACACAAGUGAGUCUUGACGGUACCGACAGAAUAAGCACCGGACUAACUCUGUGCCAGCAGCCGC
This 488-nucleotide ribosomal RNA is filed under the name uncultured soil bacterium. RNAcentral's name for it is "bacterial SSU rRNA". It matches the Rfam family "Bacterial small subunit ribosomal RNA", at positions 26 to 518 of the family's 1533-position model. The record is from RNAcentral.